Apis mellifera (honey bee) is the source of this 1809-nucleotide long non-coding RNA. RefSeq lists it as uncharacterized. Lineage: Eukaryota; Metazoa; Arthropoda; Insecta; Hymenoptera; Apidae. The record is from RefSeq and is a predicted model, not a curated record. The transcript is spliced from 2 exons.
GCCAAUUCUGCGAACGUUUAGAAAGAAAUAGAAAUUGAAAGUGGGAGGAAAGGAGAGAGAAAAAGCAUCGGCCGAGUUCGAUAGACGGCAACAACGCUUCGUUCGUUCGAGGAGAGGGAAAGGGGGGAGAAGGAGGAGGAUAAAGAAAACACACGAAAUUCCUUGUUUCAACAAUCGAGUUUCGCCAACUGUGUUUACGCGUUACAUCAUAGUUCCAAGUCCCAUCGUGGCGUAUAGGGAAAUGGGCGAAACGUGAUCGAUCGAUCCGAUCGUAAAUAUCAUGGUCAAUGCGUUUCGAUGACACGAGCAUGAAACUGUUGCUAACCGGUUGAAAGAGGAGGAGUUGAGAAAUAUUGGGAAAAAAGGAGGACGGUUUCGCAACGAGACGAAAGAUAAAGAGAGGAAAUAUUUCGUUUCUUUCUUUCUUUCUUUCUUUUCUUUUUUCUUUUUUUUUUUUUGAAGAAUAAAUAUGAAUGGUGAAUUUGGAUUUCUUUUCUUUCCCUCAUUCGUUUUAUUUCCCCUCGAGAUCGAUUCCGAACGAAAAAGUGCGUUUACCUGGAUUCUCUUACAUCUUAUCGGGCCAUCUUAUCGAACGAUGCACGCAUCGUCUCGCAUCGUCUAAUCUCGAUAAUAUCGAUUAAAGGAGAAUCGAGAAAUAACAAGGAAAAAAAAAAUACGCGAGAGAUUGAAGAAGAAUUAUAUAAAAAAAAAAAAAAUAUUUAUUACGUAGAAAGAAAGACGGAACGACACCGAUACAGAUAAGAGUUAGACAAACGGUAAAAUUUGUACAAGCUCGAUUUGCAUAGACGAUUAAAAUGCCCACGUCGUAGGCCGACGCUCGUCGAUCGAAACGAAUUUUUAUACGAUAUUUCUCUCUCCCGAACGAAACAUUGUAUCGAUCAGUAUUUAACAUUCGGUCGACCUUAUUGACAUUAUCAUAAUCGAAUUGGAAAGGUCAGGCUCGCCGAUUUAUCUAACUAUUUUUUUAUUUUUUACGCGGCUUAUAAAUAAUAAGGUAGGUAAUAUACGAUCGAGCCUUCUUCGUUGAUAAUACAGUUUCCAUGAAACACGGUGCGACAAAAAUUGCGACAAAUUUCUUCCCCGACGUAAUAAUUUUCGUUUUAUUCAAUAAUAUAUUAUCGUUCGAUUCGUAGGUUAGUUUUUCGCAUACAGGGAUACGAAGGGAUACGAAUUAACCGAUGUCGACGAAAGUAUCGACGAGGUUAUGUAUUUUUCACUCGUUGCGAAAGUGCGAUUAUCGAAUCGAAUCGAGCGGACCAAUCGUAUCGAAUCGAUCAAACUCGUGCCGAAUCGAGACUUCAUGGAAGCGAGCGAGUGAAUAAAGUAAGUGGAAGUCACGAUUUCGAUUAAUCACUCGAACGAUGAAAAUCGCAGUCGAUGUUAAACGAAGGAACGAAGAAAUCUCUUUCUCGCUCGCGUUGCGAAAUCGAGCCGUACCAUCGAAACAUGUAUCUCGCUCUCUUUCUACCUCGCUCGUAAAACAUAGCCAUACGGAUUCAAUGUCGUUGUUAUCGGGAUGUAACGCGCAUACCGAAAAUUAAAUCGAUUUCUUCGCCUCCCACUCCCAUUCUCCUCUCUCUCUCUCUCUCUCUUCUUCUAAUCCUUUUUUAUUCUCCCUUAUGUUUUCUCUACGCUCUACGCUCUGAAUAAUGUUACACGCAUACCUUUCCUUACGCGGUGAGUAACCUAACCUUUUUUACAUUAUUACACUAUCUUUCUCAUCGUUUCUUAAAGAUCCGAAAAUCAAUGUUUCGAUUCUUUCGGUUAACAAAUUUAUAAGCAAGAAUA